UACGAAGGUCCCGAGCGUUGUUCGGAAUCACUGGGCGUAAAGGGAGCGCAGGCGGCGUGGUAAGUCAGAUGUGAAAUCCCGGGGCUCAACCCCGGAACUGCAUCCGAUACUGCCGUGCUAGAGGAUUGGAGAGGUAGCUGGAAUUCUUGGUGUAGCAGUGAAAUGCGUGGAUAUCAAGAGGAACACUCGUGGCGAAAGCGAGCUACUGGACAACUCCUGACGCUGAGGCUCGAAGGCCAGGGUCGCGAAAGGG
RNAcentral lists this ribosomal RNA (253 nucleotides) under uncultured bacterium. Its description in RNAcentral is "partial 16S ribosomal RNA". It matches the Rfam family "Bacterial small subunit ribosomal RNA", at positions 524 to 776 of the family's 1533-position model. The record is from RNAcentral.